GCCUUCUUAGCUUAGUGGUAGAGUGCUUCACUCGUAAUGAAGAGGUCACGAGUUCGAAUCUCGUAGAGGGCU
Molecule: transfer RNA, 72 nt
Filed under: Spironucleus salmonicida
Lineage: Eukaryota; Fornicata; Diplomonadida; Hexamitidae
Description: tRNA-Thr
Rfam family: tRNA
About the family: Transfer RNA (tRNA) molecules are approximately 80 nucleotides in length.
Source: Rfam by way of RNAcentral